Molecule: ribosomal RNA, 253 nt
Filed under: uncultured bacterium
Lineage: Bacteria
Description: partial 16S ribosomal RNA
Rfam family: Bacterial small subunit ribosomal RNA
Source: RNAcentral
UACGGAGGGUGCAAGCGUUGUUCGGAAUCACUGGGCGUAAAGGGCGUGUAGGCGGCCUGUUAAGUCUGAUGUGAAAUCCCCUCGCUCAACGAGGGAACUGCGUCGGAAACUGGCAGGCUCGAGUACCGGAGAGGAACGCGGAAUUCCAGGUGUAGCGGUGAAAUGCGUAGAUAUCUGGAGGAACACCGGUGGCGAAGGCGGCGUUCUGGACUGCAACUGACACUGAUGAACGAAAGCCAGGGGAGCAAACGGG